GACGAACGCUGGCGGCGUGCCUAAUACAUGCAAGUCGAGCGAACAGACGAGGAGCUUGCUCCUUUGACGUUAGCGGAGGACGGGUGAGUAACAUGUGGAUAACCCACCUAUAUGACUGGGAUAACUUCGGGAAACCGGAGAUAAUACCGGAUAAUAUACUGAACCGCAUGGUUCAAUAGUGAAAGACGGCUUUGCUGUCACUUAUAGAUGGAUCCGCGCCGCAUUAGCUAGUUGGUAGGGUAAAGGCUUACCAAGGCAACGAUGCGUAGCCGACCUGAGAGGGUGAUCGGCCACACUGGAGCUUGAACACGGUCCAGAGUCCUACGGGAGGCAGCAGUAGGGAAUCGUCCGCAGUGGGCGAAAGCCUGACGGAGCAACGCCGCGUGAGUGAUGAAGGUCUUCGGAUCGUAAAACUCUGUUAUUGGGGAAGAACAAAUGUGUAAGUAACUGUGCACGUCUUGACGGUACCUAAUCAGAAAGCCACGGCUAACUACGUG
This 497-nucleotide ribosomal RNA is filed under the name uncultured bacterium. RNAcentral's name for it is "partial 16S ribosomal RNA". It matches the Rfam family "Bacterial small subunit ribosomal RNA", at positions 28 to 507 of the family's 1533-position model. The record is from RNAcentral.